Molecule: ribosomal RNA, 531 nt
Filed under: uncultured bacterium
Lineage: Bacteria
Description: bacterial SSU rRNA
Rfam family: Bacterial small subunit ribosomal RNA
Source: RNAcentral
AGAGUUUGAUUAUGGCUCAGGAUGAACGCUGGCGGCGUGCCUAAUACAUGCAAGUCGAACGAGGUGGAAGGGAGCUUGCUCCUGGAUGCCUAGUGGCGAACGGGUGAGUAACACGUAGGUAACCUGCCCUUAAGCUUGGGAUACCCAGAGGAAACUUUGGCUAAUACCGGAUAACAACAGAGGAGGCAUCUCCUUUGCUUGAAAGGCCCUUUACGGGGUCACUUAAGGAUGGACCUGCGGCGCAUUAGCUAGUUGGUGAGAUAAAAGCCCACCAAGGCGAGGAUGCGUAGCCGACCUGAGAGGGUGAUCGGCCACAUUGGAACUGAGACACGGUCCAAACUCCUACGGGAGGCAGCAGUAAGGAGUUUUCGGCAAUGGGGGAAACCCUGACCGAGCAACGCCGCGUGAGUGAAUGACGGCCCUAUGGGUUGUAAAGCUCUGUUGUAAGGGACGAAUGAUUAGCUUAGGAAAUGAAGCUAGUUUGACGGUACCUUACCAGAAAGCCACGGCUAACUACGUGCCAGCCGCGGC